AUUGAACGCGGGCGGCAUGCCUUACACAUGCAAGUCGAACGGCAGCACGGGAGCAAUCAUGGUGGCGAGUGGCGAACGGGUGAGUAAUACAUCGGAACGUGCCCAAUCGUGGGGGAUAACGUAGCGAAAGCUGUGCUAAUACCGCAUACGAUCUACGGAUGAAAGCAGGGGAUCGCAAGACCUUGCGCGAAUGGAGCGGCCGAUGGCAGAUUAGGUAGUUGGUGAGGUAAAGGCUCACCAAGCCGUCGAUCUGUAGCUGGUCUGAGAGGACGACCAGCCACACUGGGACUGAGACACGGCCCAGACUCCUACGGGAGGCAGCAGUGGGGAAUUUUGGACAAUGGGCGAAAGCCUGAUCCAGCCAUGCCGCGUGCAGGAUGAAGGCCUUCGGGUUGUAAACUGCUUUUGUACGGAACGAAACGGCCUUUUCUAAUAAAGAGGGCUAAUGACGGUACCGUAAGAAUAAGCACCGGCUAACUACGUGCCAGCAGCCGCGGUAAUACGUAGGGUGCAAGCGUUAAUCGGAAUUACUGGGCGUAAAGCGUGCGCAGGCGGUUAUGUAAGACAGUUGUGAAAUCCCCGGGCUCAACCUGGGAACUGCAUCUGUGACUGCAUAGCUAGAGUACGGUAGAGGGGGAUGGAAUUCCGCGUGUAGCAGUGAAAUGCGUAGAUAUGCGGAGGAACACCGAUGGCGAAGGCAAUCCCCCGGACCUGUACUGACGCUCAUGCACGAAAGCGUGGGGAGCAAACAGG
RNAcentral lists this ribosomal RNA (753 nucleotides) under uncultured Comamonadaceae bacterium. RNAcentral's name for it is "bacterial SSU rRNA". It matches the Rfam family "Bacterial small subunit ribosomal RNA", at positions 28 to 776 of the family's 1533-position model. Lineage: Bacteria; Pseudomonadati; Pseudomonadota; Betaproteobacteria; Burkholderiales; Comamonadaceae. The record is from RNAcentral.